AUGAACGCUGGCGGCGUGCUUAACACAUGCAAGUCGAACGAUGAACCUCACUUGUGGGGGGAUUAGUGGCGAACGGGUGAGUAACACGUGAGUAACCUGCCCUUAACUCUGGGAUAAGCCUGGGAAACUGGGUCUAAUACCGGAUAUGACUCCUCAUCGCAUGGUGGGGGGUGGAAAGCUUUUUGUGGUUUUGGAUGGACUCGCGGCCUAUCAGCUUGUUGGUGAGGUAAUGGCUUACCAAGGCGACGACGGGUAGCCGGCCUGAGAGGGUGACCGGCCACACUGGGACUGAGACACGGCCCAGACUCCUACGGGAGGCAGCAGUGGGGAAUAUUGCACAAUGGGCGCAAGCCUGAUGCAGCGACGCCGCGUGAGGGAUGACGGCCUUCGGGUUGUAAACCUCUUUCAGUAGGGAAGAAGCGAAAGUGACGGUACCUGCAGAAGAAGCGCCGGCUAACUACGU
RNAcentral lists this ribosomal RNA (463 nucleotides) under uncultured bacterium. Its description in RNAcentral is "bacterial SSU rRNA". It matches the Rfam family "Bacterial small subunit ribosomal RNA", at positions 29 to 506 of the family's 1533-position model. The record is from RNAcentral.